UACAGAGGGGGCAAGCGUUAUUCGGAAUUAUUGGGCGUAAAGGGCGCGUAGGCGGCUUGGCAAGUGUAUGGUGAAAUCCCUCGGCUUAACCGAGGAACUGCCGUCCAAACUGCUUCGCUUGAGACCGGGAGAGGUGAGUGGAAUUCCCAGUGUAGCGGUGAAAUGCGUAGAUAUUGGGAGGAACACCAGUGGCGAAGGCGGCUCACUGGACCGGUACUGACGCUGAGGCGCGAAAGCGUGGGGAGCAAACGGG
This 253-nucleotide ribosomal RNA is filed under the name uncultured bacterium. RNAcentral describes it as "partial 16S ribosomal RNA". It matches the Rfam family "Bacterial small subunit ribosomal RNA", at positions 524 to 776 of the family's 1533-position model. The record is from RNAcentral.